CCCCUCGGGGCUCCUUGGUGAUUCAUAAUAACUUAACGAAUCGCAUGGCCUUGCGCCGGCGAUGGUUCAUUCAAAUUUCUGCCCUAUCAACUUUCGAUGGUAGGAUAGUGGCCUACCAUGGUGGCAACGGGUAACGGGGAAUUAGGGUUCGAUUCCGGAGAGGGAGCCUGAGAAACGGCUACCACAUCCAAGGAAGGCAGCAGGCGCGCAAAUUACCCAAUCCCGACACGGGGAGGUAGUGACAAUAAAUACUGAUACGGGGCUCUUUUGGGUCUCGUAAUUGGAAUGAGAACAAUUUAAAUCCCUUAACGAGGAACAAUUGGAGGGCAAGUCUGGUGCCAGCAGCCGCGGUAAUUCCAGCUCCAAUAGCGUAUAUUAAAGUUGUUGCAGUUAAAAAGCUCGUAGUUGAACCUUGGGUCUGGCUGGCCGGUCCGCCUCACCGCGAGUACUGGUCCGGCUGGACCUUUCCUUCUGGGGAACCCCAUGGCCUUCACUGGCUGUGGGGGGAACCAGGACUUUUACUGUGAAAAAAUUAGAGUGUUCAAAGCAGGCCUUUGCUCGGAUACAUUAGCAUGGAAUAAUAGAAUAGGACGUGCGGUUCUAUUUUGUUGGUUUCUAGGACCGCCGUAAUGAUUAAUAGGGAUAGUCGGGGGCGUCAGUAUUCAGCUGUCAGAGGUGAAAUUCUUGGAUUUGCUGAAGACUAACUACUGCGAAAGCAUUCGCCAAGGAUG
This 731-nucleotide ribosomal RNA is filed under the name Aspergillus sp. M4-2-6. Its description in RNAcentral is "SSU rRNA". It matches the Rfam family "Eukaryotic small subunit ribosomal RNA", at positions 229 to 966 of the family's 1831-position model. The record is from RNAcentral. Lineage: Eukaryota; Fungi; Ascomycota; Eurotiomycetes; Eurotiales; Aspergillaceae. RNAcentral also lists the same sequence under 1 other name.